CGGGGUGAGUAAUGUCUGGGAAACUGCCUGAUGGAGGGGGAUAACUACUGGAAACGGUAGCUAAUACCGCAUAACGUCGCAAGACCAAAGAGGGGGACCUUAGGGCCUCUUGCCAUCGGAUGUGCCCAGAUGGGAUUAGCUAGUAGGUGGGGUAAUGGCUCACCUAGGCGACGAUCCCUAGCUGGUCUGAGAGGAUGAUCAGCCACACUGGGACUGAGACACGGCCCAG
This 229-nucleotide ribosomal RNA is filed under the name uncultured bacterium. RNAcentral describes it as "partial 16S ribosomal RNA". It matches the Rfam family "Bacterial small subunit ribosomal RNA", at positions 104 to 334 of the family's 1533-position model. The record is from RNAcentral.